Molecule: ribosomal RNA, 462 nt
Filed under: uncultured bacterium
Lineage: Bacteria
Description: partial 16S ribosomal RNA
Rfam family: Bacterial small subunit ribosomal RNA
Source: RNAcentral
GAUGAACGCUGACAGAAUGCUUAACACAUGCAAGUCAUUGGCGAAGCUGCGCUUGCGCAGUCUAGCCAAGGCGGACGGGUGAGUAACGCGUAAGGAACUUGCCCUGCAGACAGGGAUAACAGACGGAAACGACUGAUAACACCUGGUAUUGUCAGGCUGGCGCAUGCCGGCCUGAUGAAAGGAGACGCUGCAGGAGAGCCUUGCGUCCUAUGAGCUAGUUGGUGGGGUAACGGCCCACCAAGGCGAUGAUAGGUAGCCGGCCUGGGAGGGUGAACGGCCACAAGGGGACGAAGAUACGGCCAUUACUCCUACGGGAGGCAGCAGUGGGGAAUAUUGGACAAUGGGGGCAACCCUGAUCCAGCAAUUCUGUGUGCACGAAGAAGGUUUUCGGAUUGUAAAGUGCUUUCAGCAGGGAAGAAGAAAGUGACGGUACCUGCAGAAGAAGCGACGGCUAAAUACGUG